CCCCAACACCUGCCUCCUGUCUAGUGUCUGAUACGCAACAUGCUAUGAAGAGCCUGGUUCCCCUCUAUGCGGAGUGCACUCCCAGCCUGGGAGGCCACUCCGUCUUGCUGUCCUUUCUGGUCUUCACCUUCGGUUCUACCAACUCCAGUUCUGCUGAUUGACUGCUUCCCCGCAGCCCAGCCUGGGAAGGCUGCUCUCGACCAUCUCCACAGGAAGACAGGAUCUGUGCCUUUCUCUCAGGCAUGCGCAUCACAGUCUUGGCGGUCAUCUAGAGCGGCUUUAUGCCUUCGCGGUGCUCCCACGUGCUCUGUAAGAGCAGAGCAGAUGGUCACCUCCUGGGCUGUGGGCAGGAAGGAAGAACUGACUGGUCUUCGUCUUCCUUGCUUAAGAGACAGCCACUGCC
This 403-nucleotide long non-coding RNA is filed under the name Chinchilla lanigera (long-tailed chinchilla). RNAcentral describes it as "lncRNA (ENSCLAG00000025621.1)". Lineage: Eukaryota; Metazoa; Chordata; Mammalia; Rodentia; Chinchillidae. The record is from RNAcentral.